This 253-nucleotide ribosomal RNA is filed under the name uncultured bacterium. RNAcentral describes it as "partial 16S ribosomal RNA". It matches the Rfam family "Bacterial small subunit ribosomal RNA", at positions 524 to 776 of the family's 1533-position model. The record is from RNAcentral.
UACAGAGGUGGCGAGCGUUGUUCGGAUUCAUUGGGCGUAAAGGGUCCGUAGGCGGCCCGAAAAGUCGGAUGUGAAAUCCCACAGCUCAACUGUGGAACUGCAUUCGAAACUUUCGGGCUCGAGCGCAGAAGGGGUGAAGGGAAUUCCCGGUGUAAGGGUGAAAUCUGCAGAGAUCGGGAGGAACACCAGUCGCGAAGGCGCUUCACUGGUCUGCCGCUGACGCUCAGGGACGAAAGCCAGGGGAGCAAACGGG